This 253-nucleotide ribosomal RNA is filed under the name uncultured bacterium. RNAcentral's name for it is "partial 16S ribosomal RNA". It matches the Rfam family "Bacterial small subunit ribosomal RNA", at positions 524 to 776 of the family's 1533-position model. The record is from RNAcentral.
UACAGAGGUCCCAAGCGUUGUUCGGAUUCACUGGGCGUAAAGGGUGCGUAGGUGGCCAGGUAAGUUUGGUGUGAAAGCUCGGAGCUUAACUCCGAAAUGUCAUUGAAUACUAUCUGGCUGGAGGGUCGGAGGGGAGACUGGAAUUCUCGGUGUAGCAGUGAAAUGCGUAGAUAUCGGGAGGAACAUCCGUGGCGAAGGCGGCUACCUGGACCAGCACUGACACUGAGGCACGAAAGCGUGGGGAGCAAACAGG